This 2179-nucleotide small RNA is filed under the name Arabidopsis thaliana (thale cress). RNAcentral describes it as "ATSL085710". The record is from RNAcentral. Lineage: Eukaryota; Viridiplantae; Streptophyta; Magnoliopsida; Brassicales; Brassicaceae.
CCACUCAUCGGCCACAAUCGGGUCUGUACUGCCCAUGAAGUGUCUCGUGCCCAGCCUUGAGACAUGUUCGAGAAGACUCAGAUAGUCUCCCCUUUUUCGCCCAUGAUUCGGUUGUGGAUUCACUUCCACAACUUCCGAGUCAUCGUCCUUUUGGUUAUCCACUCUUUGGACCACUGGAUCCGCUACAACGGCCUUGGUCAAUGUGGCUAGUUGCGCCAUCACUCCCUUCAUCAAAUCCCACUGUUCUUGGGCCGUUGGAGUAUUGUUCCGGUUAUCCGUGUUGUCCCUUGCACCACUACUCUCCGGUGCUUCCUCAUUUAUGGACUUCUUCCCGGCCUCAGGUCCGGCCGAGUCUGUCCCAUCGAGCAUCGUCCCGACUCUGGUUUUCUCGUUGAUCAUCGUUUCCUCCUCAACCAAAGUCUCCUCGACAAUGCCCUUAUCCUUCUUACUCUUUCCCGUUUUGCUGCUCUUACCCAUCUGCGAAACCUCCAAAGUUAAUCCACAUAACUCCUAGUAAAAUAGCAAAAGAGUAAAGAACAACUACCGCGAGAUUCUCAAGCCGACGAGUGGUGAUACCCCUUAACCCAACACCUAGUCCUAGAACCAAGCAUGCUCUGAUACCAACUUGAAAGGCCCCGAUCCGGACUGCCUAAAGUCCGGACGAGUUCUCUCGACCUAAGACAGUAAGUGACUCGGCCCUAACCGUUUAUGAGGUUCUUUCCUAGUCUAAUCCGUUCCAUAUGAUUCCGUGAUUCAAUAUAUGAGACGAAUAGAGUAAACAAACAAUCGGAUACUUUAUUGAUUAAGCAAAGGAUUCGAUACAACCUAUGAGUUUGCAUAUAAGCUAUUACAAGUCAUAUAAUCGAUCCCUAGACUAUCCGAACUAUCACCACCCAUCAUCCCGGCCUUGAGUCUCUCGCGCCUAAGCCAAGUCCUUCCCACGAUCACCAUUUGUUCAUGAAAGUCAUAGAGCCAUAAGUAAUCUCAUUUACUUAAUCAUAUGCAAGUCCAUGCAAUGCUCUAUAUGCCAUACACUACUCGGAUCCGUGGAGAGAAUUCAGAGAGGGGAAGAUCGCGCAUCAGUCCGGCCGAUUCUCGGCAGGUCAGUUAAGACCCGCCGGUCCUCCGUCGAGCCGUGUCCCCGCCUCAGCUGAUCCCUACCCGGACCGAGUCUUGUGUAGGAUGCACAUGACCCGGAUACUACCAAGCCCUCUAGUCAAUCCUUUCAAGGAUCCGACUACUUACUCACAUCCUAGAACCCUUAGACUCAAAGUCUAGGAUCCCUUACCUUCCUUCUCGAGGUUAGGUCGAUCCGACCCUCCUUCUUUAUUGCCGGCCACAGCCCGGCUACCGAAUCCUAAGACUAUUUAUUCUCCCAAGAGGGAGAGAGUUUUAAUGGUGAGUUUCUUGUGUUUUCGGUGUGUUGUGGUGAGUGGAAUGGUCCCGGGCGCCCUUCCUUAUAUAGGGGGCGAAAGGAUGCUUCCCGAAUCAAUACAUCCGUUCCUUGCACCUUUCCGAAGAGUUGCACCUUUCCGAAGAGUUGCGCCCUUCCGAAGAGUUGCACCUUUCCGAAGAGUUGUAUCUCUUCGCCCAUAACCGCCCAGCUAGUCCGUCACUCGUCCAGCUACCUCGAGCUCAUCCGUCACUCGUCCAGCUACCUCGAGCUCAACCGUCACUCGUCCAGCUGCCCGAGCUGGACUGUCACUCGACCUGAGUAACCGUCAGUCCUUCCAGCUGAGCUUGAGCUUUGGGCGAGCUGACCCAGCUGAUUUCUUUACGAUCCUAGCUUAGCCUGCAUGAUUUCCCCUUUGUCCGAGCUUAUGGCCAGCUCCUUCUCACUUGUCCGAGACUCCACCUUCAUCUCUCGGACCAAGUCCUAGCCAACGAUCCUAUUGAGGAUCGCGGGCGUUACAUAAUCGAUAAGACAACCUUAAUAAACUCAAAGAUAACAAAACCAAACCUAAAGGAAGGGAGAAUCGAAAACAUGCAAGAAUGAAAUCAAACAUGCAAGAACUAAAACCGGAACUCACAAUCACCGGCGAAUCCUCCUAACUUGGUCGACGAUCUCUAACUCGGGCUCUCUCUCUUUCUCUCUCGGGUUAUCCUAAAGGUUCGGACGAUCGGGUUUUUUUUGGGCAGCCUUUCGGUGAGAAAAUUUCUAAGUGUUCGACUAAAGGGG